RNAcentral lists this ribosomal RNA (253 nucleotides) under uncultured bacterium. Its description in RNAcentral is "partial 16S ribosomal RNA". It matches the Rfam family "Bacterial small subunit ribosomal RNA", at positions 524 to 776 of the family's 1533-position model. The record is from RNAcentral.
UACGGGGGGGGCAAGCGUUGUUCGGAAUUACUGGGCGUAAAGGGCUCGUAGGUGGCCAACUAAGUCAGACGUGAAAUCCCCAGGCUUAACCUGGGAACUGCGUCUGAUACUGGAUGGCUUGAAUUCGGGAGAGGGAUGCAGAAUUCCAGGUGUAGCGGUGAAAUGCGUAGAUAUCUGGAGGAACACCGGUGGCGAAGGCGGCAUCCUGGACCGGCAUUGACGCUGAGGCACGAAGGCCAGGGGAGCAAACGGG